UAUAAGGUUGAUUCUGUCUUUUUUAAUUAGUUAAUUGAUAAUAUUAAAUAUAAGUAUUUAGCGUGUUAUUAUUUAUCUAAAAGAUAAUAUAUUUUAUUUGUAGUUUUUAAUUUUAAAUAUUUACAUAGUUGUGGAAUUAGUUAAUUUAUUUAGGACUGUUGAAAGUUGUGCCAGCAAACGCGGUUAUACAUCUAGUUCAAAUUAAUUUUUUUGGCUAUUAUUAAUUUUUAUUUUUUGGGGCUUGAUUUUGUUUUAUAAGGUGAAAUUUUUAAGUCAGAUUAUAUAUCCCUGGUUUGAGAUUAUAAGAAUUUUAGGAAUUAAACUAGGAUUAGAUACCCUAUUAUUCUAAAUGUAAAUUUUUGGCCAUAAAAUUAAUAGAUAAGAUCUUUAAAUUAAAAGGAUUUGGCGGUAAUUUAGUCUUUUCAGAGGAACCUGUCCUGUAAUCGAUGAUCCACGUUGGAUUUAACUUUGAUUAUUUGUUUAUAUAUCUCUGUCAUUGAAUGUUUUAUUAGAAAAUUUUCUUUAAUUAUUAAUUUAUUUAAUGUCAGGUCAAGGUGUAGCUAUAUUAAAGGUUGAGAUGGGUUACAUUUAAUGAUAUUUAUUGGAAUAGUAUAAUUGUAUAAUAUAUUAUGAAAUUGGAUUUGAAAGUAAUUAUUAUUAUUUUAUUAUAAUGAUUUUAGCUCUAGAUUAUGCACACAUCGCCCGUCGCUUUCAUUUAUAAGGUGAAAUAAGUCGUAACAAAGUAAUUUUACUGGAAAGUGAAGUUAGAUUUAU
This 774-nucleotide non-coding RNA is filed under the name Cletus rubidiventris. The record is from RNAcentral. Lineage: Eukaryota; Metazoa; Arthropoda; Insecta; Hemiptera; Coreidae.